UAAUACGUAGGGGGCAAGCGUUGUCCGGACUUACUGGGCGUAAAGCGCGUGCAGGCGGAUUGGUAUGUGCCGUGUGAAAGCUCUCAGCUUGCCUGGGAGAGGUCGCGGUAGACAGCCGAUCUGGAGGCUCGGAGAGGUCAGUGGAAUUCCCGGUGUAGUGGUGAAAUGCGUAGAUAUCGGGAGGAACACCAGUGGCGCAAGCGGCUGACUGGCCGAGACCUGACGCUGAGACGCGACGGCGUGGGGAGCAAACCGGAUUAGAUACCCGGGUAGUCCACGCAGUAAACGAUGCACACCCGGUGUCGGACCGACUGUUAAGGUCGGUGCGGUGCCCAAGCUUACGCGAUGAGUGUGCCGCCUGGGGACUACGAGCGCAAGCUU
RNAcentral lists this ribosomal RNA (381 nucleotides) under uncultured bacterium. RNAcentral describes it as "bacterial SSU rRNA". It matches the Rfam family "Bacterial small subunit ribosomal RNA", at positions 521 to 895 of the family's 1533-position model. The record is from RNAcentral.